RNAcentral lists this ribosomal RNA (247 nucleotides) under uncultured bacterium. RNAcentral describes it as "partial 16S ribosomal RNA". It matches the Rfam family "Bacterial small subunit ribosomal RNA", at positions 523 to 769 of the family's 1533-position model. The record is from RNAcentral.
AUACGGAGGAUCCGAGCGUUAUCCGGAUUUAUUGGGUUUAAAGGGUGCGCAGGCGGGAUGUUAAGUCGGCGGUGAAAUUUUGCAGCUCAACUGUAAAAGUGCCUUCGAUACUGGCUUUCUUGAGUGUGGAUGAAGUAGGCGGAAUUUGUGGUGUAGCGGUGAAAUGCUUAGAUAUCACGAGGAACUCCGAUUGCGCAGGCAGCUUACCGGGCUACAUCUGACGCUGAUGCACGAAAGCGUGGGGAUC